RNAcentral lists this ribosomal RNA (564 nucleotides) under uncultured archaeon. RNAcentral's name for it is "bacterial SSU rRNA". It matches the Rfam family "Archaeal small subunit ribosomal RNA", at positions 312 to 879 of the family's 1478-position model. The record is from RNAcentral.
CGCGAUUCGCCCUUCGGGGUGCCGAGGCGCGAAUACUUUGCAAUAAGCGAAAGCUUGACAGGGCUAUCCCGAGUGCCAUCCGCUGAGGAAGGCUUUUACCCAGUCUAGAACGCUGGGGGAAUAAGGAGAGGGCAAGUCUGGUGUCAGCCGCCGCGGUAAUACCAGCUCUCCGAGUGGUGUGGAUGUUUAUUGGGCCUAAAGCAUCCGUAGCUGGCUAGGCUAGUCCCCUGUUAAAUCCACCGAAUUAAUCGUUGGAUUGCGGGGGAUACUGCUUGGCUAGGGGACGAGAGAGGCAGACGGUAUUUCCGGGGUAGGGGUGAAAUCCUAUAAUCCCGGGAAGACCACCAGUGGCGAAGGCUGUCUGCUAGAACGCGCCCGACGGUGAGGGAUGAAAGCUGGGGGAGCGAACCGGAUUAGAUACCCGGGUAGUCCCAGCUGUAAACGAUGCAGACUAGGUGUUUGGACGGCCACGUGCCGUUCUAGUGCCGCAGGGAAGCUGUUAAGUCUGCCGCCUGGGGAGUACGAUCGCAAGAUUGAAACUUAAAGGAAUUGGCGGGGGAGCAC